CACGUAGGGGGCGAGCGUUGUCCGGAUUUAUUGGGCGUAAAGAGCUCGUAGGCGGCUCAGUAAGUCGGGUGUGAAAACUCCAGGCUCAACCUGGAGACGCCACCUGAUACUGCUGUGGCUAGAGUCCGGUAGGGGAGCAUGGAAUUCCUGGUGUAGCGGUGAAAUGCGCAGAUAUCAGGAGGAACACCGAUGGCGAAGGCAGCUUACUGGGCCGAAACUGACGCUGAGGAGCGAAAGCGUGGGGAGCGAACAGG
Molecule: ribosomal RNA, 254 nt
Filed under: uncultured bacterium
Lineage: Bacteria
Description: partial 16S ribosomal RNA
Rfam family: Bacterial small subunit ribosomal RNA
Source: RNAcentral